CAAUAAAGUAGAGGCGCACCGUUUAUCAGUAGUCCGGAGCAGGGUGACUCCGAAUGUCCUGGGUUGAUCAGGGCGGCAAAUCGGAUGAAAGGAAAAGGUGCCGAAGCAGAGAGUUCGUCAAACUCAUUUGCUGGUGCUGCAUCGAAGAGGUGUAUCACUGUCACAGUUUUUACUGUGGAGCGCUACUGGACAA
This 193-nucleotide non-coding RNA is filed under the name Endozoicomonas numazuensis. RNAcentral's name for it is "Lysine sequence". It matches the Rfam family "Lysine riboswitch aptamer". Rfam says of the family: Riboswitches are metabolite binding domains within certain messenger RNAs that serve as precision sensors for their corresponding targets. Allosteric rearrangement of mRNA structure is mediated by ligand binding, and this results in modulation of gene expression. This family includes riboswitches that sense lysine in a number of genes involved in lysine metabolism, including lysC. The record is from Rfam by way of RNAcentral. Lineage: Bacteria; Pseudomonadati; Pseudomonadota; Gammaproteobacteria; Oceanospirillales; Endozoicomonadaceae.